Molecule: ribosomal RNA, 305 nt
Filed under: uncultured bacterium
Lineage: Bacteria
Description: bacterial SSU rRNA
Rfam family: Bacterial small subunit ribosomal RNA
Source: RNAcentral
GCCUACGGGGGGCAGCAGUCGAGAAUCAUUCACAAUGGGGGAAACCCUGAUGGUGCGACGCCGCGUGGGGGAAUGAAGGUCUUCGGAUUGUAAACCCCUGUCAUGUGGGAGCAAAUUAAAAAGAUAGUACCACAAGAGGAAGAGACGGCUAACUCUGUGCCAGCAGCCGCGGUAAUACAGAGGUCUCAAGCGUUGUUCGGAAUCACUGGGCGUAAAGCGUGCGUAGGCUGUUUCGUAAGUCGUGUGUGAAAGGCGCGGGCUCAACCCGCGGACGGCACAUAAUACUGCGAGACUAGAGUAAUGGG